This is a long non-coding RNA of Manis pentadactyla (Chinese pangolin), 1252 nucleotides long. RefSeq lists it as uncharacterized. NCBI's taxonomy places the organism in Eukaryota, Metazoa, Chordata, Mammalia, Pholidota, Manidae. The transcript is spliced from 2 exons. The record is from RefSeq and is a predicted model, not a curated record.
AGUAUGGGGAGAGAAAAAUAAUCAUGCAUUCUUCAAAAUUCAGAAAUAAUAAAAUAAUUGAGUGGGUAAAAUGUGCAUUUGUAGGGUGUUGAUGAAGGCCAAAAUAGUGAUACAAUUUCCAUGCACACUCUAAAAUGGAGAAUACAAACUCAUCAUUUAUUUAUUAACCACUAUUAAUCAACUAAUCAAAUAUUUUGUAUUAUUUAAAACUACCAAAUUCUAGACUUUUAUGGAAUAGCUGUUAAACUGAUGAGUACUUCUCGAAAAAUUAUAAUUGCAUAUGUUGAAACACAAUCUUUUGAAAAUGCAGGUAAGCACUUAACAUGAUAAAGAAUCUCAUGAAAUCGUGUUACUGACCCAACAUAAUUAUUCUGAAAGUAUCAAGAGAACAACAUAACGACUUAAUCAUGUGUGCACAAAUGUUUUUCUCUCUCCAACCCCCAAAAAUCUCUGAAUUCAACAAAUAGCUAAUUGGCUUCUAUUUGAAGUUUAUAAGAAGAACCGAGAUGUGUUACAUGGUCCUUCCUUGCAAGCAGCUCAUUCUAUAUAGGAGCAGCAGGCAUACCACACAUACAGAAAUACAUCCACAGUAGGACAAGGAAUGAGACGUGGAGGUGUAGAAAUGUUGAAGCCUUCAGAGAUCAUUCUAGAUAUUAAAGUAGGAUUUAAACAAUGAAAAUGAAGAAUGAGUGGUGGCAGUGGGAGGAAAGUUGGGCAAAAGCACAGCAUGAACACUGCAUGAGAAGCAGCCAAGUGAAGAGCAUCUCCAGAAAAAUAAGUGGAGCCAUGCAUUUGCAAGGAGGUGGAAUGCAGGACAUAAAGUAUAAUGGCCCCCUUCAAGUAAAUGCAAGUUAAGAUUCAAGAGUUCAAUCACGUCAUCUUAUAAAGGAAAUGGAAUAAUGGAAACCAAGAGAAGCAGAAGGACUUGCUUAUAAUCAUACCACUCUUUCAGAAGUAGAACCCAAACUUGAUAAAGGUCUUUAGAAUCCAGGUUCAGUCUUUCCUCCACAUUACCUGGUAUUUAAUAAUGAUAUAUAUUUGGUAAUCAUUCUUAAAGAGUCAUGGUUUCAUUAGAGAGAAGAGAAUUGAAGACUCCCCUAAUUUUUUGAACCAUCAAGCAUUAAAAUAAAACAUUUUUCAGUGGAGUUCCUGAGGAAUUCUGUUUUCAUUAACUGUUAAGAGAAUUACAUGUAUAAUUAAGGGAAGAACAUGUAUUUCAAUUUAAAUUAAUGGUUGUGCUUAAAAAUUUGAA